Molecule: ribosomal RNA, 406 nt
Filed under: Radix cf. plicatula TS-2021 Clade IV
Lineage: Eukaryota; Metazoa; Mollusca; Gastropoda; Lymnaeidae
Description: partial 28S ribosomal RNA
Source: RNAcentral
GAAACCGCCCAGAGGUAAACGGGUGGAUCCGCAAAGUCGGCCCGUGGAAUUCAGCGUGUGCGGAGGGUCCGGGAAUCGGGCCGGGGAUCUUCGGACCCCGCCCAGCUCUCGACUGGGCCCGACGCCGCGUGCACUUUCCGCGGGCAGAGCGCCACGACCGGUUUCGCGGCGGCGAUAAGCCCGUUCGGAUGCGUGGCACGAUCUCACGGUCGUGCUACGGCCGCUCGCGGUGAGCCGCUGUCGGGACCGAGGAACGGCCGCGUGCUUCGAGGCUGCCCGGCCUCGCUGGGGAGUUCGACUGGCAGGGACUGGGCAACCGUGCCUGCCGACUGCUCCCCGGUGCCGGUUCGGGACAUCCGGGCGCGUCAGGUGGUCGGUGGCGAGUCUGUCGGCAUUCCACCCGACC